GGAGAGGCCUUCUCGCAGUUGAUUA
RNAcentral lists this non-coding RNA (25 nucleotides) under Rattus norvegicus (Norway rat). The record is from RNAcentral. Lineage: Eukaryota; Metazoa; Chordata; Mammalia; Rodentia; Muridae.